AGUGAACGCUGGCGGUAGGCCUAACACAUGCAAGUCGAACGGCAGCACAGUAAGAGCUUGCUCUUACGGGUGGCGAGUGGCGGACGGGUGAGGAAUACAUCGGAAUCUACUUUUUCGUGGGGGAUAACGUAGGGAAACUUACGCUAAUACCGCAUACGACCUACGGGUGAAAGCAGGGGAUCUUCGGACCUUGCGCGAUUGAAUGAGCCGAUGUCGGAUUAGCCAGUUGGCGGGGUAAAGGCCCACCAAGGCGACGAUCCGUAGCUGGUCUGAGAGGAUGAUCAGCCCCACUGGAACUGAGACACGGUCCAGACUCCUACGGGAGGCAGCAGUGGGGAAUAUUGGACAAUGGGCGCAAGCCUGAUCCAGCCAUACCGCGUGGGUGAAGAAGGCCUUCGGGUUGUAAAACCCUUUUGUUGGGAAAGAAAAGCAGCAGGUUAAUACCCCGCUGUUCUGACGGUACCCAAAGAAUAAGCACCGGCUAACUUCGUG
Molecule: ribosomal RNA, 492 nt
Filed under: uncultured bacterium
Lineage: Bacteria
Description: partial 16S ribosomal RNA
Rfam family: Bacterial small subunit ribosomal RNA
Source: RNAcentral